This 50-nucleotide ribosomal RNA is filed under the name Enterococcus faecium. RNAcentral describes it as "partial 23S ribosomal RNA". Lineage: Bacteria; Bacillati; Bacillota; Bacilli; Lactobacillales; Enterococcaceae. The record is from RNAcentral.
ACAGUGAUGUAUGGAGCGGGCUGAUACUAAUCGAUCGAGGACUUAACCAA